This 557-nucleotide unclassified non-coding RNA is filed under the name Hevea brasiliensis (rubber tree). Lineage: Eukaryota; Viridiplantae; Streptophyta; Magnoliopsida; Malpighiales; Euphorbiaceae. The record is from RNAcentral.
GCACAGAUAAAAUCUCCCCUUACAGGAUACAAAUGGUGGGUGGGCAAAUUCAAAUAAAAACUUUCCAUACAAUCAUCAGUGAGGCUGAAGAAGCCACCUUAGUAUUCACUUUGCUUCCAUCCUCCCAAUUCUUCUCCAUCAUAUUCAGUUUCCUUCUGAGUGAAGGUCACUCCAACUUGAAUUUCUCCAGAGUAGUUAAGAUUGUCUCCCACCACGUUAUACUUUUGAGGCCGUAACUCGGACACGCCAUUUUCAACUCCAAGAGCUAAUAAAUCUUCCACAUAUAUCGUGGUUUCGCCAAUAAAAUCAUCAGCAGAGAAGGUGUCAUGGUCCAUGAUCUUGAGGAUGAUCUUGAAAUCGUCACCGCUUCCGGGGUACUCCGCUCUGAAUGUAAAUUUCUCAUUCCAUACUGGACCUCCUCCUUCAUUUCGGGCAACACUGCUCUUGCGUUCUUGGCCCUUAUACUGAAUCAGAACAUAAGGGUCAAUUCCACCCAGAAAAUCUGUGCCUCGAAGUCCUUUGGCGUUUACCAAUUUCACCUCCAAAGUUCCAAAGGC